UCUAGCCAUGUCGAACAUGUU
This is a non-coding RNA of Caenorhabditis elegans, 21 nucleotides long. The record is from Ensembl. Lineage: Eukaryota; Metazoa; Nematoda; Chromadorea; Rhabditida; Rhabditidae.